AUUGAACGCUGGCGGCAUGCUUUACACAUGCAAGUCGAACGGCAGCGCGGGCUUCGGCCUGGCGGCGAGUGGCGAACGGGUGAGUAAUGCAUCGGAACGUGCCCAGUAGUGGGGGAUAGCCCGGCGAAAGCCGGAUUAAUACCGCAUACGACCUGAGGGUGAAAGCGGGGGACCGAAAGGCCUCGCGCUAUUGGAGCGGCCGAUGUCGGAGUAGCUAGUUGGUGGGGUAAAGGCUUACCAAGGCGACGAUCCGUAGCUGGUCUGAGAGGACGACCAGCCACACUGGGACUGAGACACGGCCCAGACUCCUACGGGAGGCAGCAGUGGGGAAUUUUGGACAAUGGGGGCAACCCUGAUCCAGCCAUGCCGCGUGCGGGAAGAAGGCCUUCGGGUUGUAAACCGCUUUUGUUCGGGAAGAAAUCCUCUGGGCUAAUACCCCGGGGGGAUGACGGUACCGGAAGAAUAAGCACCGGCUAACUACGUG
Molecule: ribosomal RNA, 484 nt
Filed under: uncultured bacterium
Lineage: Bacteria
Description: partial 16S ribosomal RNA
Rfam family: Bacterial small subunit ribosomal RNA
Source: RNAcentral